CGUAAAGUCGUCUACAAGAGAACGAGUGCGAGUAAAUGAAGUUCGCGUUGCUGCCACGCAUUAGGGCUUUAAUUUUCUAUAAAAGACAACGGACAUGGAACUCGAGACUGAAGACGUUGUCGUCUCGGUUGGGGCAUUCCUUUUCCAGUUGCUGGCUUCGCCGUGCAACUGCAGCACCCCACAGACUCCAGUAACUCCGUACCACCGUGCCACAGUGCCACCGUACACACUUGAGAGACUGGGCCUCCCCUUUGACGCCUCCCUGUGCCCCGUUGCGUAUUUGCUUUGAUGAAAAUGUUUCCCAUUACUUGGUUUCUUGGUUGGGCAUUGCCUGCCCCUCAUUCGCCUGGCCGCCGCCACCUCCUCC
This is a long non-coding RNA of Drosophila montana, 367 nucleotides long. RefSeq lists it as uncharacterized. The transcript has 3 exons. Lineage: Eukaryota; Metazoa; Arthropoda; Insecta; Diptera; Drosophilidae. The record is from RefSeq and is a predicted model, not a curated record.